AUUGAACGCUGGCGGCAGGCCUAACACAUGCAAGUCGAGCGAGCGGCGGACGGGUGAGUAAUGUAUGGGGAUCUGCCCGAUAGAGGGGGAUAACUACUGGAAACGGUAGCUAAUACCGCAUACUAUCGGAUGAACCCAUAUGGGAUUAGCUAGUAGGUGAGGUAAUGGCGCACCUAGGCGACGAUCCCUAGCUGGUCUGAGAGGAUGAUCAGCCACACUGUGAAUGAGACACGUCCCAGAGUCCUUCGUGAGGCAGAAGUGGGGAAUAUUGAACAAGGGGCGCAAGCCUGAUGCAGCCAUGCCGCGUGUAUGAAGAAGGCCUUCGGGGUGUAAAGUACUUUCAGCGGGGAGGCGUUACCCGCAGAAGAAGCACCGGCUGACUCCGUGCCAGCCGCCGCGGUAAUAC
This 406-nucleotide ribosomal RNA is filed under the name uncultured bacterium. RNAcentral describes it as "partial 16S ribosomal RNA". It matches the Rfam family "Bacterial small subunit ribosomal RNA", at positions 30 to 526 of the family's 1533-position model. The record is from RNAcentral.